CGGACGGGUGAGUAACGCGUAGGAAACCUGCCGUAUACUGGGGGAUAACACUUAGAAAUAGGUGCUAAUACCGCAUAAGCGCACAGCUUCGCAUGAAGCGGUGUGAAAAACUCUGGUGGUAUACGAUGGUUCCGCGUCUGAUUAGCUAGUUGGUGGGGUAGUGGCCUACCAAGGCAACGAUCAGUAGCCGGCCUGAGAGGGUGAACGGCCACAUUGGGACUGAGACACGGCCCAAACUCCUACGGGAGGCAGCAG
This 255-nucleotide ribosomal RNA is filed under the name uncultured bacterium. RNAcentral describes it as "partial 16S ribosomal RNA". It matches the Rfam family "Bacterial small subunit ribosomal RNA", at positions 99 to 354 of the family's 1533-position model. The record is from RNAcentral.